AAAAAACAAACAUGUGUCUAGAGAGCAGGUUGAUUAGAGAAGGGAAAAGGAUACGGGAGGCAAACGAGGAGGCCUAAGAACAAUACUACAACUCCAAGAGCCAUGUAUUUAUUUUGAGGAUGAGUGACUUCUUCUGAUAGUGGAGCAAUAGGCCCUCUUUGGAGGAAGAAUAUUAGGACUACCCAGUAAAAUGCUACAUCGUUAAAUAAUGAACAUAUUCCCAGAAGACCAAUAGAUAGAGCACUAAGGCGAGCUGAAGCCUUCCUUCCCCACAUCGCAAAUGCAAUCCGACCACCAUCAAGCUCUCCUGCAGGAAUGCUAUUGAUAGCAUUUAUCACAAGUCCAGCCCACGCCCAUAUCACAAGCGGAUGUACUGAUAUAGGACUUCCUUCCUGGAGAACAUCUCCUAAAUAAAGCUUGGCUAUACCACCAGCUAGAAAUGAUUCAUGGAACACAGACGGAUCUACGAUGAUGCCAAUCCCAUCACUAGGAGGUAACAUGAAUCCUGAAAGCAAAAGAAUAAACCCCACACAGAACCCAGCUAAUGGUCCAGCUGCUGCAACUUUCAACAGAUCUUCACGAUUUGGUACAACAUUUAGAAUCCUUGUUAUAGCACCAAAACAUCCUAUCUGCCAGCUAGGAACAAAAUAUGGGAUGCUGAGCUUAAUCCCAACUUCUGUGGCAACUAAACGAUGGCUAACUUCAUGAACCCCCAGAAGAAAGGCAGUCAUUAAAGCUCCAGGUAAUCCAUCUUUCAACAAAUCAAGAUUGUCGAAAACUGAUAAAAAGUUCGAUUGUAAUGCUGGCACAUUGCGAAGAAAUAAAGUGAAUACUGUAACGAGUCCAAAGGCCCCUGCUGCAAACCAUUCUGGAACAGCUGUAGUUUCAGGUUGCAGGGUCAUUCUUGGGACCACAACGGCCACAGGCUUAUCAUCCUCUGGAUUGAUUAAAAGAAAAAAUUUAUAGUCAUCUCCAAGUUUUUCCUGCAUUCUCUUUGAUACUUUUUCAUAUGUUUUUGCAGCCUGUCCUCGUAGAUUCCCUUUAAAUAGUACUCCACCCUCAUACGGCUCCUGGCUUGUAACAAAAAACGUGUCAAAACCAAAUACUUGAUUUCUGAGAAUUUCAACUGUUUCCUUGGGGAUCCUGAUUGAUUCAUCG
RNAcentral lists this unclassified non-coding RNA (1158 nucleotides) under Hevea brasiliensis (rubber tree). The record is from RNAcentral. Lineage: Eukaryota; Viridiplantae; Streptophyta; Magnoliopsida; Malpighiales; Euphorbiaceae.